AUGCAGUCGUUCUUGAUGACGGCUGAUGAGGAGCAGAGCCAGAACAAGGUGCUCACCACCUGGGUGCAGCAGAUUGGGGUCCUGUCCUACAAAGUGGAGGACAGCCUCAUGGAUUUUGGCCUCCUGUCCGAGAAGAAGCCAUAUUUGGGGUGCAUCCCUCGCAGCCCAGGUGAUCGACGACGCAUCGCCAAGGAGGUGAAGCAGCUGAGGGCCGAGGUGGAGGACGUGAGCAACAGGAACCUGCGCUAUCGCCUCAUCAAGGAGAGCUCAGGCUCCAAGCCUACCAUGGCAGAGGAGCAGGCCAGCAUUGCUACUGCGGUAAUGUUUGGCAUCAACGAAGCAAGGCUUGCUGCAUUGGAGCAUGAAGAUUCAUCAAAGGUGGACCUCCAUCAGUUGAUUUCCAGCAAGGAUGUGGACCUUAGGGUGAUCGCCAUGUGGGGUAGUAGCGGUGAUCUUGGGAAGACGUCGGCCAUCCAGGAGAUUUAUGAUGACCCAAAGGUAUUGCAAAGGUUUGGCUUCCAUGCUUGGAUUAGGCUGAUGCAUCCUUUCAAACCACAAGAGUUCCUCCGGAGCUUGGUAAGGCAAUUUUAUGAAAAUUCACAUGAUGAGUUUGGAAAGCCAUCUUUCAGUCCACAAGAAUUUCUCCAGAGCUUGGAAAGGCAAUUUUAUGAAACUUCCUAUGAUUACGUUGGAAAGCCAGAACAACAAACAAGUGUUGGGGCUGUUCUGGCCAAGAUGGAGAAGAUGGAUCAAAGUGAUUUAGUCUGUGUGUUUAAUGCACUGUUGUGUAGCAAUAGCUACCUGGUUAUCAUAAAUGACCCGUCCACGAUAGAAGAGUGGCAUUGCAUUAGGAAGUACUUUCCUGACAACAAGAAACAAAGUAGAAUCAUUGUUUCCGCGCAGCAAAUUGAAAUUGCGUGCUUGUGCACAGAGAAACCGUACCAAGUUUCUGAGUUCAAGCAGUUGUCAUGUGAUCAAACUAUUUAUUUGUUCCACAAGAAGAAUUCAGUGGGGCAGGUCAACAUGGGCAGUGUUAGUGUUGCAAUGGUUGACAACGAUGACGAAGCAAAGGCUCCUACUGUGGAGGAGAAACUGAAGGUUAAGCGAGCAUCAUGUUCUGCCGAGCCUAUUUCCUACAGAAACAAAGUUACUAUCAGUGAGGCAAACACAUCAUUGCCCAACGAUGAAAUACAGGAGGAAGACCAAGAACCUAACAUUGCAGGUGAAAACAAAAUUUGUAACUCAACUGCUAGAAAGAAAUUUGAUCGCAGCAGGACACUGGCACUGGCUGAUUAA
RNAcentral lists this ribosomal RNA (1296 nucleotides) under Triticum aestivum (bread wheat). Its description in RNAcentral is "partial small subunit ribosomal RNA". The record is from RNAcentral. Lineage: Eukaryota; Viridiplantae; Streptophyta; Magnoliopsida; Poales; Poaceae.